RNAcentral lists this transfer RNA (92 nucleotides) under Chryseobacterium sp. W4I1. RNAcentral's name for it is "tRNA-Ser". Lineage: Bacteria; Pseudomonadati; Bacteroidota; Flavobacteriia; Flavobacteriales; Weeksellaceae. The record is from RNAcentral.
GAGAUUUUUAGAAUAACAAAUCUAACUAUAUAAAAAUUACAGCAGUCUGCCUUCUAAGCAGACGGUCUCAGGUUCGAAUCCUGACGCGCUCA